Gasterosteus aculeatus aculeatus (three-spined stickleback) is the source of this 323-nucleotide long non-coding RNA. The record is from Ensembl. Lineage: Eukaryota; Metazoa; Chordata; Actinopteri; Perciformes; Gasterosteidae.
GGAAAGGAUACAAGAAAGGAGGGACGAGGGGGGAUUAAAGAAAUACAAGCAAAGGAAGAGAGGAGACAGAGGGGGACGGCGGCCGUCCAAGAAAAAUGCAAAUGUGAGGAUAACAAGGAGAUGAUGAUGGAUGUGAAGUGGGCGGAGAAAGAGGUGGGGGACAAGACCAAAAGGCUCUUUAGGAUCUCCAGGAUCUUGAGCUGCAUAUGAUAAUGACAUCAGGCUGCAUAAACUGUGUUAUGCCAGCUUCGACUUUUGUGCCACGGAGGACGGAUCACAUGCGACGGCAGUGGACGUACCCCCAUUCUACCCUGCUGCUCCCC